GUGCCAGCCGCCGCGGUAAUACGGAGGAUCCAAGCGUUAUCCGGAAUCAUUGGGUUUAAAGGGUCCGUAGGCGGGUGCGUAAGUCAGUGGUGAAAGUCUGCAGCUCAACUGUAGAACUGCCAUUGAUACUGCACACCUUGAGUAAUUAUGAAGUGGUUAGAAUAUGUAGUGUAGCGGUGAAAUGCAUAGAUAUUACAUAGAAUACCGAUUGCGAAGGCAGAUCACUAAUAAUUUACUGACGCUGAUGGACGAAAGCGUAGGUAGCGAACAGGAUUAGAAACCCGUGUAGUCC
Molecule: ribosomal RNA, 292 nt
Filed under: uncultured bacterium
Lineage: Bacteria
Description: partial 16S ribosomal RNA
Rfam family: Bacterial small subunit ribosomal RNA
Source: RNAcentral